ACGAGCGCACCCUCGUUCGGUGUUGCUCGCCCUUUUGGGCAGGACUCGCCGGAGACCGCCAGCGACAAGUUGGAGGAAGGUGGGGACGACGUCAAGUCAUCAUGGCCUUUAUGUCCAGGGCUACACACGUGCUACAAUGGGCGGUACAACGGGUUGCCAAACCGCGAGGUGGAGCUAAUCCCUAAAAACCGUCCUCAGUUCGGAUCGCAGGCUGCAACUCGCCUGCGUGAAGGUGGAAUCGCUAGUAAUGGCGCAUCAGAACAGCGCCGUGAAUACGUUCCCGGGCCUUGUACACACCGCCCGUCACAUCACGAAAGUGGAUUGUACUAGAAGUCCGCUAGCUAACCUUCGGGAGGCAGCGGCCCAAGGUGUGAUUCAUGAUUGGGGUGAAGUCGUAACAAGGUAGCCGUAGGAGAACCUGCGGCUGGAUCA
RNAcentral lists this ribosomal RNA (432 nucleotides) under uncultured Fibrobacteres/Acidobacteria group bacterium. RNAcentral's name for it is "bacterial SSU rRNA". It matches the Rfam family "Bacterial small subunit ribosomal RNA", at positions 1092 to 1525 of the family's 1533-position model. The record is from RNAcentral. Lineage: Bacteria; Pseudomonadati.